This 243-nucleotide long non-coding RNA is filed under the name Homo sapiens (human). RNAcentral describes it as "HSALNT0290159". Lineage: Eukaryota; Metazoa; Chordata; Mammalia; Primates; Hominidae. The record is from RNAcentral.
CCUCCCAAAGUGCUGGGAUUACAGAUCAAGAACUCGGACCUAGCUGCACUAAGGACUAAGCAAACUACAAAGGAAGCAAGAGAUUGGAGUGAUUCAAGGAAGAAGCCACGAGCCAAGGAAUGCAGGUGGCCACUAGGAGCUGAAAAAUGCAAGGGAACCGAUGAUCCCCUCAGAGCCUCUGAAGGAGCCACCCCUGCCCAUACCUUGACUUUAGCCCAGUGAAACUGGUUUUGAAUUUCUGAC